This 153-nucleotide ribosomal RNA is filed under the name uncultured eukaryote. RNAcentral describes it as "partial small subunit ribosomal RNA". It matches the Rfam family "Eukaryotic small subunit ribosomal RNA", at positions 1651 to 1811 of the family's 1831-position model. The record is from RNAcentral.
CCCUGCCAUUUGUACACACCGCCCGUCGCUCCUACCGAUUGAGUGAUUCGGUGAACCUUCUGGACUAGAUGAGCCUUUAAGGCUUAUCUGGGAAGUUAAGUAAACCAUUAUCACUUAGAGGAAGGAGAAGUCGUAACAAGGUUUCCGUAGGUG